Long non-coding RNA from Cygnus olor (mute swan), 227 nucleotides. RefSeq lists it as uncharacterized. NCBI's taxonomy places the organism in Eukaryota, Metazoa, Chordata, Aves, Anseriformes, Anatidae. The transcript has 3 exons. The record is from RefSeq and is a predicted model, not a curated record.
CUGAAAGUCAGCUUGGAGCUUUUUUCACCAUAAUCCACUGCACAAUGCAGCUAUCACCUUGUCCCAGCAUUCAGGGUGAUACCAAUCCACAUCUGCUGAGGAUUUGACCCUUAGAGCUAUCUGACCAUUUUUGCUGACGCUUCGUUUACAAGGGCACAACAGAGGGACAUGAAUGACCGUGGUAUAAAGGAGCAAAUUCAUCCUGGGGACUACAACACUAAACACAG